GAACGGCAGCAUGGGAGCUUGCUCCUGGUGGCGAGUGGCGAACGGGUGAGUAAUAUAUCGGAACGUACCUUUUAAUGGGGGAUAACUAGUCGAAGGAUUAGCUAAUACCGCAUACGCCCUGAGGGGGAAAGCGGGGGAUCGUAAGACCUCGCGUUAUUAGAGCGGCCGAUAUCUGAUUAGCUAGUUGGUGAGGUAAAGGCUCACCAAGGCGACGAUCAGUAGCUGGUCUGAGAGGACGACCAGCCACACUGGAACUGAGACACGGUCCAGACUCCUACGGGAGGCAGCAGUGGGGAAUUUUGGACAAUGGGCGCAAGCCUGAUCCAGCCAUUCCGCGUGAGUGAAGAAGGCCUUCGGGUUGUAAAGCUCUUUCGCAAGGGAAGAAACGAUCUGGACGAAUAAUCCAGGUUAAUGACGGUACCUUGAUAAGGAGCACCGGCUAACUACGUGCCAGCAGCCGCGGUAAUACGUAGGGUGCGAGCGUUAAUCGGAAUUACUGGGCGUAAAGCGUGCGCAGGCGGUUUUGUAAGUCAGAUGUGAAAUCCCCGGGCUCAACCUGGGAACUGCGUUUGAAACUACAAGGCUAGAGUAUGUCAGAGGGGGGUAGAAUUCCACGUGUAGCAGUGAAAUGCGUAGAGAUGUGGAGGAAUACCAAUGGCGAAGGCAGCCCCCUGGGAUAAUACUGACGCUCAUGCACGAA
This 700-nucleotide ribosomal RNA is filed under the name uncultured bacterium. Its description in RNAcentral is "bacterial SSU rRNA". It matches the Rfam family "Bacterial small subunit ribosomal RNA", at positions 64 to 757 of the family's 1533-position model. The record is from RNAcentral.